AACGAACGCUGGCGGCAUGCCUAACACAUGCAAGUCGAACGAGACCUUCGGGUCUAGUGGCGCACGGGUGCGUAACGCGUGGGAACCUGCCCUUAGGUUCGGAAUAACUCCCCGAAAGGGGUGCUAAUACCGGAUAAUGUCUACGGACCAAAGAUUUAUCGCCUUUGGAUGGGCCCGCGUUGGAUUAGCUAGUUGGUAGGGUAAAAGCCUACCAAGGCGACGAUCCAUAGCUGGUCUGAGAGGAUGAUCAGCCACACUGGGACUGAGACACGGCCCAGACUCCUACGGGAGGCAGCAGUGGGGAAUAUUGGACAAUGGGCGAAAGCCUGAUCCAGCAAUGCCGCGUGAGUGAUGAAGGCCUUAGGGUUGUAAAGCUCUUUUACCCGGGAUGAUAAUGACAGUACCGGGAGAAUAAGCCCCGGCUAACUCCGUG
This 433-nucleotide ribosomal RNA is filed under the name uncultured bacterium. RNAcentral's name for it is "partial 16S ribosomal RNA". It matches the Rfam family "Bacterial small subunit ribosomal RNA", at positions 29 to 507 of the family's 1533-position model. The record is from RNAcentral.